GACGAACGCUGGCGGCGUGCCUAACACAUGCAAGUCGAACGGUGAAGGGGCCUGCUUUUGUGGGUCCUGGAUGAGUGGCGAACGGGUGAGUAACACGUGAGUAACCUGCCCCCUUCUUCUGGAUAACCGCAUGAAAGUGUGGCUAAUACGGGAUAUUCUGGGUCUGUCGCAUGGUGGGCCUGGGAAAGGUUUUUUCCGGUGGGGGAUGGGCUCGCGGCCUAUCAGCUUGUUGGUGGGGUGAUGGCCUACCAAGGCGGUGACGGGUAGCCGGCCUGAGAGGGUGGACGGUCACACUGGGACUGAGACACGGCCCAGACUCCUACGGGAGGCAGCAGUGGGAAAUAUUGCACAAUGGGCGCAAGCCUGAUGCAGCGACGCCGCGUGCGGGAUGGAGGCCUUCGGGUUGUAAACCGCUUCUAUAGGGGGGCAAGCUAUGCCUGUGUGGUGUGGUGAGUGGACUUUAUGAAUAAGCACCGGCUAACUACGUGCCAGCAGCCGCGGUAAUACGUAGGGUGCAAGCGUUGUCCGGAUUUAUUGGGCGUAAAGGGCUCGUAGGCGGUUUGUUGCGUCUGGUGUGAAAGCUUACUGCUUAACGGUAGGUUGCGCUGGAUACGGGCAGGCUUGAGUGCAGUAGGGGAGACUGGAAUUCUCGGUGUAACGGUGGAAUGUGUAGAUAUCGGGAAGAACACCUAUGGCGAAGGCAGGUCUCUGGGCUGUUACUGACGCUGAGGAGCGAAAGCGUGGGGAGCGAACAGGAUUAGAUACCCUGGUAGUCCACGCUGUAAACGUUGGGCACUAGGUGUGGGGGCCACCCGUGGUUUCUGCGCCGUAGCUAACGCUUUAAGUGCCCCGCCUGGGGAGUACGGCCGCAAGGCUAAAACUCAAAGGAAUUGACGGGGGCCCGCACAAGCGGCGGAGCAUGCGGAUUAAUUCGAUGCAACGCGAAGAACCUUACCAAGGCUUGACAUGCACGGCGGCACUGCAGAGAUGUGGUGGCAUUUAGUUGGUCGUGUGCAGGUGGUGCAUGGUUGUCGUCAGCUCGUGUCGUGAGAUGUUGGGUUAAGUCCCGCAACGAGCGCAACCCUUGCCCUAUGUUGCCAGCACGUGAUGGUGGGGACUCGUGGGGGACUGCCGGGGUUAACUCGGAGGAAGGUGGGGAUGACGUCAAAUCAUCAUGCCCCUUAUGUCUUGGGCUUCACGCAUGCUACAAUGGUUGGUACAGAGGGUUGCGAUAUCGUGAGGUGGAGCGAAUCCCUUAAAGCCAGUCUCAGUUCGGAUUGGGGUCUGCAACUCGACCCCAUGAAGGUGGAGUCGCUAGUAAUCGCAGAUCAGCAACGCUGCGGUGAAUACGUUCUCGGGCCUUGUACACACCGCCCGUCACGUCACGAAAGUUGGUAACACCCGAAGCCCAUGGCCUAACCGGUUUGCCGGGGGGAGUGGUCGAAGGUGGGAUUGGCGAUUGGGACG
RNAcentral lists this ribosomal RNA (1467 nucleotides) under synthetic construct. RNAcentral's name for it is "bacterial SSU rRNA". It matches the Rfam family "Bacterial small subunit ribosomal RNA". The record is from RNAcentral. RNAcentral also lists the same sequence under 2 other names.